RNAcentral lists this ribosomal RNA (253 nucleotides) under uncultured bacterium. Its description in RNAcentral is "partial 16S ribosomal RNA". It matches the Rfam family "Bacterial small subunit ribosomal RNA", at positions 524 to 776 of the family's 1533-position model. The record is from RNAcentral.
UACGAAGGGGGCUAGCGUUGUUCGGAAUUACUGGGCGUAAAGCGCAUGUAGGCGGAUAUUUAAGUCAGAGGUGAAAUCCCGGAGCUUAACUUCGGAACUGCCUUUGAUACUGGAUGUCUUGAGUGUGAGAGAGGUAUGUGGAACUCCGAGUGUAGAGGUGAAAUUCGUAGAUAUUCGGAAGAACACCAGUGGCGAAGGCGACAUACUGGCUCAUUACUGACGCUGAGGCUCGAAAGCGUGGGGAGCAAACAGG